This is a long non-coding RNA of Oxyura jamaicensis (ruddy duck), 2484 nucleotides long. RefSeq lists it as uncharacterized. The record is from RefSeq and is a predicted model, not a curated record. The transcript has 3 exons. NCBI's taxonomy places the organism in Eukaryota, Metazoa, Chordata, Aves, Anseriformes, Anatidae.
AAUACAAGAGACGGAAAGAAAAGAGAUGCACAGAGAUGCAAAUAUCUUGUCCAAAUAGCAGAGAAAUUAAAUAGCCACAGAAACAAGCUUUAUCUGGGGAUGCAAAACUCCCAACAAUGACCAGCCGGGACUGUAACUCAGCUGAUGGGCAACUGUGGUACCUCACAAUCAACAAUGAGCAGCAGUUCUUGUUUUCAUUAAAGGGCUGAAUUAUUUUGCUUUUCUGUAGGAUAGAAGUUUAUUUUGGGGCCAUUACUCAAGAGUAGAUGGCAUCUGCCAUCUACACAGCAAAGUGUACCCCAUAAUAAUGUGUUCAUGUUCCUACUCCCAAAGUCAAUGGCAGAUACAGGAACAGACCCAGCUUCAACUCCCAGUUCAGUGUCCUACUCACUAGACCACAAAAUUGUUUUUUUUUUUAUAUAGACAGACAUAUAAAGAUAUGGAUGGAUGGCUCAAAGCCUGAUUUUAUUGCCAUAUGGACACCUAAAAAUUAGCGUUUUAAAAUGUAAAGGAUUUUAGCUCCUGCAUACUAAUGAGUUCCGUCUUUUACAAUAAGACAAUAAUGAAAUGACCUAUAAAAGCAGUUAGAAACAGUAACAGUGAGAUCUAAGAUAGCUUCAGGGUUAAAAUCCUUCCCAUGACUACAGAGGCAAGCACUCUUUCUCAUCAUCAUUUGCCUGCCCUAUACAGCACAGCCAUGUCAAAUACUACAGAACUACUGCUUGGUCAAGUACCACACACAUUGCUGUCCAUUAACCUAAAAUCGUGACCUGCUUUACAUUAUUUCCUCUUGCAAAAUUCCUGCACCUUAAGGGGAAACCUCACAGCUCUGUCAAAACCAGUUUCAGAUCUGGCACUUCUGUGUGCAGACUGACACCCCCAGUGAUGCAUCUAAAAUAUCUGUAGAGGACAUUUUUUCCUCACCCUGCUAAGAUUUGUGAUUUCCCAUUGGGUUUUGGUGUUCUCGCACACACGCUUACACUGUAACAAAGUGCACUUUCUAAGCUAUUGUAGAUAUUCCUUGUGACAGCAAGCAAAAGAGGGAAAUGAUGUAAAGCCACACCACGCCAUCGAGCUCACACCAGGAGAAGUGAAACAUAUGUCUCCAACAACAUAAAACGCACUGGGUAAAAUUCGCAGCAGUGGGUCUCCCACAGAUUUCCAGGAACCGCAAACAUGAUCUUUGUGUCUUGCCAAGCUCCCCAGAUAUGUUAUCCAUCUGGGGGAAUGUAACUCUAGAAUUGCCAACCAUGAAGGCCGUAAUUGUGUUUUCUCCAUUAAUUUUAUAUGCUGUGGUAAGAUAAAAUGCAGCAGAGAAUGUCCCUGACGCUACCAUAUUUUGAGUCUUUAUGCAAAGACAUGAAGACAGUUCAAUAAACCUGUUGGGAAGCUGGCAGAAAUGACAGCACAGAAAACAUGGUUGUCACUUGCAUUUGCAGAUGAAGUCCUUUGAUGCCUGGAACCAAUAAGAUGGAGCAACCACUAGUAGAGUAAGUUACACAGCAAAACAUUUUUGGCAGGUUCUCAUUGUAAGGACCCAUGUGCCUGCUAGACACAAAGGUCUUCCACAGUGCAACAGGCCCUCAAAGAGAACUGCCUGCCCUCCAGCUCCACCCUGCAGCCAAUAUAUAAAUCAGGAAGGUGACCCAGGGCAAUUGAUGAAAGUCUGAGCUACUGCAGGAGGUACUUUGGAAUAACGAGCUGCUGCACUACAAAGACUGCUCAGCUGUAUGGAGGCAACCAUCAAGGCAAAGGCCUUGUGUCUGCACUUGCAUGUUAGAUGACCAAGGUACAGGAAGAAAACUGUGUUCUCUGCUGUUUAAGAAUGAACUUUGACAAAAUGGACAGUUCUGACUUCUGACUCAGUUAAUCAGUUGCUGAGAACUGUGUCCUGCUGCUUUGUGAGUGUCCAUCAUCUGUCUUCAGCUAAUGAAUUUCUCUGUAGUGGAGUGUUCUACCUUCUGCUAUAUUUUCAGUGGCAGAAGUAUAUCCAGCACAGGAAAACUCCACUAGAACUUAAUAUUGCAGUGAAAAUCAUGCUAAAUUUUGAGGACGGACAAAUUCUAGAUCUACAGAGCAAGCAAUUCUUUUUCCUGAUUGUGCUGACUGAAGCUUCAGAAGAAAUCUCUUUAGAAGAGGUAGUGUGAUUCCAGAGGUCUACUUGUGCUGACUGAUACUCCAACACAAUUUGGAGGUAAUGUCUUUAGAGAAGGUGACAAUGGGAUGAAUUGGUCCUGUACUAAACAGCUGGAUUCAAUGCAGUUGGGACUCUAGCUAAGAACCCUGAUGAAUUUGGCCUUUUUUCUAGGAUAUCUGCAACAACAUGAUUGUCCAUAUCAUGUGUACCUUCAUGCCCUAAGGAGUUUGCAAUGAAGUUGUUCAGGCAUCUUCUUUUAUUUAGUUCUGUGGUGCCACUGCAGUUGAUUGCUUCAGCUGCUCUGACUGAAGCAAAAAGACUUAAUAAAAAGUGAGAUGAAGUACUCA